AGAGUUUGAUCCUGGCUCAGGAUGAACGCUGGCGGCGUGCUUAACACAUGCAAGUCGAACGAUUAAACCGCCCUCGGGCGGACAUAGAGUGGCGAACGGGUGAGUAACACGUGACCAACCUGCCCCGCGCUCCGGGACAACCGCUGGAAACGGCGGCUAAUACCGGAUACUCCGGGAGGGCCCCAUGGCCCUGCCGGGAAAGCCGAGACGGCGCGGGAUGGGGUCGCGGCCCAUUAGGUAGACGGCGGGGUAACGGCCCACCGUGCCCGCGAUGGGUAGCCGGACUGAGAGGUCGACCGGCCACAUUGGGACUGAGAUACGGCCCAGACUCCUACGGGAGGCAGCAGUGGGGAAUUUUGCGCAAUGGGGGAAACCCUGACGCAGCAACGCCGCGUGCGGGACGAAGGCCCUCGGGUUGUAAACCGCUUUCAGCAGGGAAGAUCCAAGACGGUACCUGCAGAAGAAGCUCCGGCUAACUACGUGCCAGCAGCCGCGGUAAUACGUAGGGGGCGAGCGUUAUCCGGAAUGAUUGGGCGUAAAGGGUGCGCAGGCGGUCCUGCAAGUCUGGAGUGAAACGCAUGAGCUCAACUCAUGCAUGGCUUUGGAAACUGGAGGACUGGAGAGCAGGAGAGGGCGGUGGAACUCCAUGUGUAGCGGUAAAAUGCGUAGAUAUAUGGAAGAACACCAGUGGCGAAGGCGGCCGCCUGGCCUGUUGCUGACGCUGAGGCACGAAAGCGUGGGGAGCAAAUAGGAUUAGAUACCCUAGUAGUCCACGCCGUAAACGAUGAGGACCAAGUGUUGGGGGUGAAACCUCAGUGCUGAAGUUAACGCAGUGAGUCCUCCGCCUGGGGAGUAUGCACGCAAGUGUGAAACUCAAAGGAAUUGACGGGGGCCCGCACAAGCGGUGGAGUAUGUGGUUUAAUUCGAAGCAACGCGAAGAACCUUACCAGGCCUUGACAUGGGAUGCGAAGAUGCAGAGAUGCAUCGGAGGUCAACAUCCACACAGGUGGUGCAUGGUUGUCGUCAGCUCGUGUCGUGAGAUGUUGGGUCAAGUCCCGCAACGAGCGCAACCCUUGUGGCAUGUUGCUAACAGGAAAAGCUGAGGACUCAUGCCAGACUGCCGGUGACAAACCGGAGGAAGGCGGGGAUGACGUCAAAUCAUCAUGCCCCUUAUGGCCUGGGCUACACACGUACUACAAUGGCGGCUACAAAGAGCAGCGAGACAGGGAUGUCGAGCGAAUCUCAUAAAAGCCGUCCCAGUUCGGAUUGGAGGCUGCAACCCGCCUCCAUGAAGUUGGAAUCGCUAGUAAUCGCGGAUCAGCAUGCCGCGGUGAAUACGUUCCCGGGCCUUGCACACACCGCCCGUCAAG
Molecule: ribosomal RNA, 1370 nt
Filed under: uncultured bacterium
Lineage: Bacteria
Description: partial 16S ribosomal RNA
Rfam family: Bacterial small subunit ribosomal RNA
Source: RNAcentral